This is a long non-coding RNA of Carassius auratus (goldfish), 2017 nucleotides long. RefSeq lists it as uncharacterized. The record is from RefSeq and is a predicted model, not a curated record. The transcript is spliced from 3 exons. NCBI's taxonomy places the organism in Eukaryota, Metazoa, Chordata, Actinopteri, Cypriniformes, Cyprinidae.
CAGCAGACGACUCCGAUCCAGAUACGUUUUCAAACCGGCAAAUCCGCGUUACAGUCACACCCGUUUCAGGGCUGUAACACGGAUCCAGCCCAGGUGCGGUUUCAGUGGGCGGGAACUACAGUCGCAGAGCGGAUCCGGGCCGCGUCCGUAGAAACGAGCGCGCGGUUUUUUCCGUUUUUUUUUUCUGAAGUUCAGAACAGGAGAAGAUGUCAAGACGGUCGAGGAAAAUACAGACUGCUCGCUGUUAUCCUCAAAAACCCCACCAAGGUAUGACACACCGUGCGAACAAACUAAAUCAAUGUCUUAUGCUGUGAAACUUAUUCGAUAACUUAAAGGUUUGGUGUUUUUUAUUGAUUCUUAGAUCUGUGUCAGACUGUAGCUAUUGUUGGCGAACACUAAGGCCUAUGUUAUCAGAGGACUUGCUAACAUGAAGAAAACGUCCAGAGGUUCCAGAGCAGGGACUGUCAGAUAGUAAGAGACAAAUGAAAAGGAGGGAACUGUUUUUAAGCUGUGGAGUCAGACGGAGGGAUCCCAUUAACCUCAAAAACAGCAUUGCAGAGGACUCUAUUACUACUAGAACCAACUCAAUCACACAAUGGUGACACAUUUAUAAGAACAUUUCCCUGUGAUAUAAACACUUGCCUGUGGUACUUGUUCAGAUUAUUCUCUUUCUCAUUGUGUAGCACUGGUUUAAAGGGUCUGUUCACCCAAAAAUUUUAAUUCUGUGUUAACUACUCACCCUCAUGUCAUUCUAAACCUGUAAGUUCUCCAUUCAUCUUCGGAACACAAAUUAAGAUAUUUCUUGAAGAAUUCUGAGACCCCUCUGACCCUUAAGCUCACACAUAAUAGCAUGCUCUGCUCACAUUCAGUGCAUGGAUCCUCUCCAAAUUAGCACCAUGGUGAAAUCAAGGAGACAGUUUGUUGAAUAAAGUCAUUAUAUUUGUUACAAAAAGUAUUCUCGUAGCUUUGUAAAAUUAUUGUUGAAUCCCUGUUGUCACAUAGAUUAUUUUACCGAUCUUCUUGCCACGUUUCUGUACCUAGAUCGUGAUAAUUACAUUGCUAUCUAUGGGAGGGUCAGAGAGGUCUCAGAAUUCAUCAAAAAUAUCUUAAUUUGUGUUCCAAAGAUGAACAAGUUGUCUUACGAGUUUGGAACAACAUGAGUGUGAGUAAUUAAUGACAGAAUUUUUAGAUUUGGAUGAACUUACCCUUUAAGCUUAGUGAAUAUUAUGUACAGGAAGCACUAGAAUUAUAGACUUGUACUGCUUGGGGUAGUGUACCAAAUAAACCUUUAAUUUUGCUUUUUUGUGCAUAAAUUAUCAAAAUGAAAGAAAAAUGCACAAUGGCACGUCUUUUGCAUUGUUUUUUGUAGUAAUUCAAUUGUUUUAAUAUGAAUAUUGUUUUAAUAGUGUUCAAUACUCAGUACUUUAAACGUUUUGUUGUCUUAAGAGGUUUGUAUAACAACUUAACAAAAAAAAAAAUAUCAGUGCCAUAAGACAAUCAAAUAUUUUAUUAUCUGUUAUGUAAGAUGCUUGUAAUGAUUGCUUUAAUGGUAUUAAUUAUUUCAUAAUCUACUUAUGUGAUUUGUAUUAUCAGGUAACUGUACAAAUACUGUGGUAUAUGGACAUUACUUUUUAUUUGUAACAAAGAAACAUGCAUUUUCUGUAAAGGUGUUCUGAAAUAUGUAUUGUGAACAGUACUAUCCAAAUAAACUAACUGUAUUUGAAUUCUAGAUAUGUAUGCAACUUAUUUGUGUGUGUGUGUGUUAGCAUAUAUAUGUGAGCUGGCCCAGAUCCGGCACGGAUCCAAAAUGGUACUGGACCAGAUCCGGCCCACAUUUAGGCCAAAUCAUAAUAAAGGAAUCCAGAGCUGGCCCAGCUCUGGUCCGGAUCCGGUAAAAACGGAUCCGUGCCGGUAUUGGCCCGUUGUGCCAAAAGACCCCGGCCCAAGUCCGUUGCGCGGAUCUGGGCCAGAUCUUCCGAUUGGCCUGGGCCAGAUUUGGCCCAGAUGAGUUUUGCUG